This is a long non-coding RNA of Sapajus apella (tufted capuchin), 1892 nucleotides long. RefSeq lists it as uncharacterized. The record is from RefSeq and is a predicted model, not a curated record. The transcript has 2 exons. NCBI's taxonomy places the organism in Eukaryota, Metazoa, Chordata, Mammalia, Primates, Cebidae.
CUGGCCUAUUUAAAUUUUAUGGUUUUUUUUUUUUUUUUUACAGUAGUUUUGUAUGGAGGGUAUAAAACUCUUCACAACAUUUUUUUUGGGGUGCAGGGGGCUAACCUCUUGGUAGUUGCCUUUGUUUGUAAGUUACCUCUAAAUAAAGUUCAGAAUUGAAAGUUGUUUGGUGUUAUCAGCGUAUUAUUGAAAGCUCAGAAUUGUAGGGACCAGAAUUUUACAGAUUCUCUAAUGUCUUUAAUCAAUUAGAUAAUUCAUGUUACGUGAACAACAAACCAAUGAUGCUAGUUGAAUCCUGGAAUUUAAACUUGCAACAAAGUGAAUAUAACACAGUUAAUGGUUAUUCUUAAUAUAUUAUAAAUAGUAAAGGGAUUUAUGUAAAUAUUUAUUGCUUUUACCCAGCUAAUAAACGUUUUCACCUGGGAUAGAAUGAUACUGGGGUGGAUACGGAGAGUUCGUUGUAAAGGGAAUGUUCUUUCUCUGUUUUUGUUUUUAUACUCUGCUUUCUCUUUGAAGUUGUUCUUUCCUGUAUUUGAUUUUGAGAGACCCUGAUUGACUCCCAAUACCUGGAUAUAGAGAUUUAAAAAAUUUUUUAAACAAAACAAAACAGGGCCUUGCUAUGUCACCCAGGCUGGAGUGCAUGUAGUGGUGUGAUCAUAGCUCACUGCAGCUUCAAACUCGUGGGCUCAGGCUAUCCUUUUGCCUUAGCCUUCCAGAUAGCUGGGACUACAGACAUGUGCCACCACACCUGGCUAAUUACAGAACAUUUUUUUAAAAAAUAGAGACAGAGUCUCACUAUGUUGUUUAAGUUGGUCUCAAAUUCUUGGGCUGAAGGGAUCCUCUCACCCUGAUCUCCCUAAACUUCCUUCUGAUUAGUGAUACCUGAUCUGCAUUAGGGUUCCAGCCUGUUUUUGGAACCAUUUUUGACCUUCUUAGGGAAACUAGUAGUCUGUAAGUUUGUGAGGUUAUGGUGGGCAUGGGAGUAUUAGAUAUGUAAAAGUUUUCUAAACUCCUCAGAAAACUUUUAGUCUUCAGUGGACUUGGGGAUUUUGCCUGAGGCCAGAGUUUUGAAAACAGCAGCCUGGCUUUCUUUUGAAGGGUGGAGGUAAGUCCUUAAUGGAAAUUAUGGGGUUGUCUAUUCCAUACUACGUGGGUGCUCAGCAACAGGGGAGAUAGGACUGUGAUAUCUAAGGCAGGAGGAUAUGAGGGAGCCCUGUGAUGAUAAAUUGUGAGAGUAGUGUGAGGUCUUCAUCUGAAGAGUCAGAACAUUGGGAUUUUAGCAGAUAAAGGCUGAGCUUUCAAGGCAGGAGGUCAUGGAGAAAGAGCUGCCUUUUCUUACCUCUUGCCAGGGAAUUAUUCAAGGAAGUUAAUUUUGAGUUACUGAGCCAUUAGUUGUGUUAGUGUGAGAGUUUAAGAAUGUAGAUGAUUGCUUUGGGGUUUUAUCUCCUUUGGUUCUAAGGAAUUGUGGGGGUAUAAGCCCUUGUUGAAAUUCCGUUUCCCAAAGUGGUCACUGUAAUUACAAAGUAUUCUUGGUAAAAUUUUGUCAUAGUAUUUAUCAGACAUGUAUAUGAAUUUGGACUAUAAUGAAUAACAUAUAAGAUUCAGGAGUCCUGACAGGAUUUGACUCUUUUACUUAACAGACCCCACCAUAACAAAUACCAAAAAGGAGAACUCUUUCACUAUUUAAUAGAAAAUGUAUACAUAGAAUACCUAGUCAGUUGAGACAGACCCGGUAGUUUAGGAUCUCCAGCCCUUGAAUCUGGUCCAAACUAGACUUUUCUGAAUAAUCUCUUAGGACAUAGAUGGACUAACAAUGGAACAUACAGACGGGCGCAGUGGCUCACGCCUGUAAUCUCAGCACUUUGGGAGGCUGAGGCAGUCGAAUCACAAGG